Ostrea edulis (European flat oyster) is the source of this 270-nucleotide long non-coding RNA. RefSeq lists it as uncharacterized. Lineage: Eukaryota; Metazoa; Mollusca; Bivalvia; Ostreida; Ostreidae. The transcript is spliced from 2 exons. The record is from RefSeq and is a predicted model, not a curated record.
UAGCCAAUCAGAAAACGUGUUAUAGAACCAACGAGUAUCAGUACUCGAACUGAAAUUAACCAAUUACAAGAUAUUAUUAGUUAUAGCAGCGCUGCAAGUGAAAUUAAUUCAUUUGAUAUAUAUCUCAGACUGUGAAAGUUCAAACUUCAGCAUGUUCAUUCGGUUUUCCACAAAAUAACAAACACAAGCUGACGAUGGAAUACUUGAGGUUUAUAUUUCGUUAUCUGAUGACUAAGACACAGAUGGGAUUUUCCAUUUCAAAAUGACGAA